UAUACGACCGUACCGCAAACCGACACUGGUGCGCGAGAUGAGUAUUCUAAGGCGCUUGAGAGAACUCAGGAGAAGGAACUCGGCAAAUUGACACCGUAACUUCGGAAGAAGGUGUGCCCUAUUAGUGUGUAGUGAACAACGAAGCAUGAAUGGGUUGCAAAAAAUCGGUGGCUGCGACUGUUUAUUAAAAACACAGCACUCUGCAAACACGAAAGUGGACGUAUAGGGUGUGACGCCUGCCCGGUGCUGGAAGAUUAAAUGAUGGGGUGCAAGCUCUUGAUUGAAGUCCCAGUAAACGGCGGCCGUAACAAUAACGGUCCUAAGGUAGCGAAAUUCCUUGUCGGGUAAGUUCCGACCUGCACGAAUGGCGUAACGAUGGCCACACUGUCUCCUCCUGAGACUCAGCGAAGUUGAAAUGUUUGUGAUGAUGCAAUCUCCCCGCGGAAAGACGGAAAGACCCUAUGAACCUUUACUGUAGCUUUGUAUUGGACUUUGAACAGAUCUGUGUAGGAUAGGUGGGAGGCUUUGAAGCAGGGUCGCUAGAUCUUGUGGAGCCAACGUUGAAAUACCACCCUGGUGUGUUUGAGGUUCUAACCUAGGUCCAUUAUCUGGAUCGGGGACAGUGCAUGGUAGGCAGUUUGACUGGGGCGGUCUCCUCCCAAAGCGUAACGGAGGAGUUCGAAGGUACGCUAGUUACGGUCGGACAUCGUGACGAUAGUGCAAUGGCAUAAGCGUGCUUAACUGCGAGACUGACAAGUCGAGCAGAUGCGAAAGCAGGACAUAGUGAUCCGGUGGUUCUGUAUGGAAGGGCCAUCGCUCAACGGAUAAAAGGUACUCUGGGGAUAACAGGCUGAUACCGCCCAAGAGUUCAUAUCGACGGCGGUGUUUGGCACCUCGAUGUCGGCUCAUCUCAUCCUGGGGCUGUAGCCGGUCCCAAGGGUAUGGUUGUUCGCCAUUUAAAGAGGUACGUGAGCUGGGUUUAAAACGUCGUGAGACAGUUUGGUCCCUAUCUUCCGUGGGCGCUGCAGAUUUGAGGAAGCCUGCUCCUAGUACGAGAGGACCGGAGUGGACACACCUCUGGUGUAUCGGUUGUCACGCCAGUGGCAUUGCCGAGUAGCUAAGUGUGGAAGAGAUAACCGCUGAAAGCAUCUAAGCGGGAAACUCGUUUCAAGAUGAGAUCUGCCGGGGCCUUGAGCCCCCUAAAGAGUCGUUCAAGACCAGGACGUUGAUAGGUCAGGUGUGGAAGCG
Molecule: ribosomal RNA, 1248 nt
Filed under: metagenome
Description: bacterial LSU rRNA
Rfam family: Bacterial large subunit ribosomal RNA
Source: RNAcentral